UUAAGUUCAGCGGGUAUCCCUACCUGAUCCGAGGUCAAACUUGUGUUCGGUGCGUGACCGAUGCGAACGCGUAAGGCAGUCGUGCAAGCUUCGCGCCAGUAAGUCGUUACGGCGGCUGCUACAGCACUCCCAUUUACUAAUCAAUAGCCAACGCAUUUGAGGUCCGGGAUGGUCCCUAGACCCAAUACCAAGCCAGGCUU
This 200-nucleotide unclassified non-coding RNA is filed under the name Capnodiales sp. Its description in RNAcentral is "partial internal transcribed spacer 2". The record is from RNAcentral. Lineage: Eukaryota; Fungi; Ascomycota; Dothideomycetes; Capnodiales.